UACGGGGGGGGCAAGCGUUGUUCGGAAUUACUGGGCGUAAAGGGCUCGUAGGCGGCCAACUAAGUCAGACGUGAAAUCCCUCGGCUUAACCGGGGAACUGCGUCUGAUACUGGAUGGCUUGAGUUCGGGAGAGGGAUGCGGAAUUCCAGGUGUAGCGGUGAGAUGCGUAGAUAUCUGGAGGAACACCGGUGGCGAAGGCGGCAUCCUGGACCGAGACUGACGCUGAGGAGCGAAAGCCAGGGGAGCAAACGGG
This 253-nucleotide ribosomal RNA is filed under the name uncultured bacterium. RNAcentral's name for it is "partial 16S ribosomal RNA". It matches the Rfam family "Bacterial small subunit ribosomal RNA", at positions 524 to 776 of the family's 1533-position model. The record is from RNAcentral.